CUGUACUUUCCCUUCCUUUGCACGCGGUUGAGGAGACCGGUAGGCCUGGACGACUUUUGCUGAAUGAUGCCGGGAAAACUCCGUAGUGACUCCAGUUUGGAAUCAGACAUGGCCAUGGAAAAGUUGGAGACCCGGCGAAAGCAAAACGUGAAGGUGAUAUCGAGGGGCCUGGGGCAAGGCAGGACCGGGGGCCGGGCAACGAGAACAGCGGGGCCCGGCAGUACGGGAGACAUGCCGGGCUGAGAGCGUGUUGCACGCGGCGAGGACCGGCAUGUCCAGGUGCCGGGCCUGGGGCUGGGCAGGCGGGAGUCCAACAGUGGCCCUUUCUCUGACCAGUGGACGCAUUGUCCUCCGGACGGAGUCUGCUCUGUAGCUCCGACUUCUCUCAUCUUUUACGCGGCGGCAAGCCCAGGGAGCUUUGGCAGAGAGGCCGGAUUGAGCUGGAGAGAGGAUCACUGCCCCUCCGGGUCCCGGGGAAUUGGGAGUUCCGCACCCCAUGCACGAAGUUGAAGGUCCACUUUAGGCCCCACGUUGUGGGCUCAGACUUAACUCCAGGUGUGAGCGUGCGCGAAGGGAAUUAUAUAAAUAAGUCUGGAGACUGAAGCUUUAGACGAAGGAGAUCUUAAAUCCGUCCGCGCAGCACACGUGGACUGCAUAAACAGUGACAUUUUCCUUACUUGUUUUACUACAAUAAGGGAAGUACAGUUUGCUCCUCGGUAAGCAGCUCAGAAGAUGAGGUAAUCUAAUCUUAGUAUUUAUUGACAAGAUCGUCUGUGGAAAUGUAGAGAGAGAGUGCGAAGUGACCACCAUAUUUCUUACAUAGGCCGGCAGUGACUGUAGUUGAAAUAGCCCUGGUAGUCUUCUGAUUCUUGCCUGUUGCUUAAUAAGACUGAAGGGUAAGACUGAAGGUUGUGAUUUAACUUGUGACCGAGUCUGUUCUGAAAGUCAGUGGAAACAAGAUUGUUCCUGAAUUUGUGUUGUACACGCCUUGGAAUUUACUUUCUUUGCUGUUUCUGGGUCUGAUAGGUGGCUCUUAAAACAGCACUAUUUUGGCCUGGUAGGAAGCCCAGGGGACAUCAAAUUUGUUGUCCAGUGAGGAGGUAGUGGCUUUCAUUUACUCAUUCUGCAUCAGUAAGUGUGUUCAACUGUGGAAUGGAUGCUCCCUCAUCAAGAGAGACAUACAUAAGCAGGGCUGGGCAUGUGGCUCAAUGGUAAAGUACCCCAGAGUUCCAUCUCCAGUACCAAGAUCUACUUCAGAUCACUUAGGAAAAUUCUGAUUUAUGAUCUGGCCAAUAGGAAUUGCAUAGUUACUAGGAGAUACUCUUGACUUUUCAAGCUAAUAAAACUGUUUUUAUAUAUUUAUCUUCAUAUAGGUAAGAAGUGGUAUUAAAAAGCAUACUGGGCCUGGGGUUGUGGCCCAGAGGUAGAGCGCUAGCCUACCCUGCAUGAGGCACUGGGUUCGAGCCUCAGCACCACAUAAAAAUAAAAUGAAUAAAAUAAAGGUAUAAAAAAAUAAAUAAAGAUAUUGUGUUCACCUGUAACUAAAAAAUAUUUUUUAAAAAAGCAUACUGAUUUCUACCUUAUGACAAUAGGAAUAACAAAUGAUGAAAUGCCCCAAAAUUAUGUUCUUCAUAAUUGUGAUCUUAAAGUGAUCCAGAAUUGAUAUAUCAUAAUUGAAUGAUAUGUUAUAAAUGUCAUAAAUGAUGUUUUGUUUUGUAUAUGUGUUUUCUUUAUCAAUUUUUCAGAAAGAUAGAAAAGAGCAGCCAAAGUCUAAUAAGACUGAAGAAUGUGCAGAAGGAAAAGAAGAAACUCUUACCCCCAAAACCAAAAAAGUUAAAAACAAACCAGGGCCUUCUGAAGCUGAUACAAAUUCUCCUAAAUCCAAAAAGGCAAAAAAGCAAGAGGAGCCUACUCAAGAUGCCAUUAUUUCUCCUAAAACCAAAAGUGCAAAAAAGAAAAAGGAAAAGGAGCCUCUUGAAAAGGAAGUUGUCUCUCCUAAAACCAAAAAAGUAAUAAAAAAUGAGGAACCUUCUGAAGAAGAUGUGGAUGCUCCUAAACCCAAGAAAAUGAAGAAAGAGAAGGAAGUAAAUGGAGAUAUUGGAGAGAAAAGUCCCAAACUAAAGAACGGAUUCUCUCAUUCUGAACCUGACUCCAAUGAAGCUGCCAGUGAAGAAAGUAACAGUGAAAUAGAGCAGGUAAAGUUGCAUAGGUAGAAUGUGUCUUUCAAUGUUUCAGAAAUAGAUAAUGUUACACAUACAUAUCCUAUUUUUUAAUGUUAUUAUAUUUUUCAUAUAUUUAUUUAUUUAAUUUUAUGGGUUGCUGGGGAUUGAACCCAGUGCCUCACACAUGCUAGGCAAGCACUCUACCAUUGAGCUACAACCACAGCCCUACACAUGCUGUUUUGAUAGUAGAAGGAAAUUUUUUAUCUCAGCAAUCCUUGGAGGUAUCUUGAGUUGCAGGGUGAGACUUCAUCUUAAAAAUUACAGUGUUGAGGAUCCGGGAUAUAGCUCAUUUGGUAGAGGGCUUGCCUCACAUGCAGAAGGCCAUGGGUUCAAUCCCAGCACCACACACACAAAAAAAGUCUUAAAUAAAUCUUUUUGUUUAGGCCAUUAAGUAAUUUUGAGUUGAAUAAGAUUAAAUGUCCUUUUGGAACUCAGUUCUUUCAUCCUUCAGAAACUUAGUCAUGAAAGAAAAAUUGUGGGCUGGUCAUGUGGCUCAGUAGUAGAGUGUUUGUCUAACAUGCCCAAGGCCCUGGAUUUAAUCCCCAGCAUCACAGAAAAAUCCUAACAUGUUUUCUGUUUGCCAUAGGUUAUGAUCACAAUUGACAGUUUUUCCCCUAAUUAUAAGGUGAAAAAUUUUAGGAAAUGGAUAAAUUUAUCUGAGGAGGGGAGCUUCCUAGAAUUUUAGCAUUCAUUCAUUCAGUUAACACUGAAUACUUUUCAGAUACAGAGGCAACCUGUUGUUAAAUUUUGAUGUUUCCUUAUGGUACAAUGUAUUUAGGAUUGUACCUUAUGCAGUCUUGAAUCCUGCUCUUUCUACUUUAUAUAAGAAUUUUUCCUUAUUUUUAAAUAUUUAAUGUUUAAUGGCUACAUAACCUCUUGCAAAUGUUUAUAAAUUUAUUUAAUAUCUAUUUAUUUAUUUGUGGUGCUGAGGAUUGAACCCAAGGCCUCGCACACGCUAGGCAAACACUCUACCGCUGAGCUACAACCCCAAUCCCCUUAAAAAGUUGUUUUUGAAGAGAUUCUUUUGGUUCUUUCUCAGAAGAGUUCUGUAUUAACUUUUAUGUGAGUUAUGAUUUCUUUCUGUGGUCCUUGACAGGAAAUACCUGUGGAACAAAAAGAAGGCGCUUUCUCUAAUUUUCCCAUAUCUGAAGAGACUAUUAAGCUUCUCAAAGGUAAUAUUCUCGGAAAUAUUACAUAAUGUCAGAACAUAUUAUUCAGAAGCACUACAUUUUUGUUGGAUGAACCAGGGUGUGAUCUUAUUUUUGGACAAUAUAGGCAAUCAGAUAAUGAAGUAGACCAGUAUAUUCAUAGUAGGACUAUGACAUUGAUAGUCUUGGCUGCCUCUAAUAAGUGGUUAAAAUUUACCCUUUACUCAGAAGUAUAAUGGCUGAUACUGCUGAUUAAUGCCAUGUUCAGUUUUCCUUUUCAUCUUCUGCUUGAGUACCAGAUUGAUUCAGAAUUUAUCUUAACAUUCUGCCUAUGAAUUGCUGGGUAGUCUUAGAUGCUCCACAAAGUGUUUUCUGAAUCAGUUGCAGCACAGUCUGGAUUGCAAAGUGUUUGAUUUUUUUCAGGCUCACAAGAUUGUCUGACAAGUGACUUGCUCUCUUAAUAUAUUAAAUAUUUAUUAUAAUUUGAUGUGUUAAAAGUUUGCAAAUAUUUUCCAGAUUCUUCAUUAUCAGAAUAUAUUUGAGCCUGACUUUGUAGUUGUUGACCAAAAGGCAAAAUUCAUUAAUUCUGUAGGACUAGAAAUAUUCAUUAUGUUUCAGUCUUUGGUUAUCCUGGUAUUUUAAGAAUUAUAGUGUCAGCAUUAGAAGUAUAGCUCAGUAGCAGACUGCAUGUUUAGAGGGCAAAAGGCCCUGGAUUUAAACCCCACCCUGCCAAAAAAAAAAAAAAAAAGCCUUGUUGGCUAAUGUGAUUUGUUUGUUCAUAGCCCGUGGAGUGACCUUCCUGUUUCCUAUACAAGCAAAGACGUUUCACCAUGUCUAUAGUGGGAAGGACUUAAUUGCACAGGCGCGGACAGGAACUGGGAAGACAUUCUCCUUUGCCAUCCCUCUGAUUGAGAAACUUCAGAGUGAGCUGCAAGAUAGGAAAAGAGGCCGUCCCCCGCAGGUAACUCUUAAGUGGACCUCAGGCUCCAAGACAGCGCAGGACGAAUCUCUCUGGGCAUGGUUUACAUAUCCAACUAUUUUUAUUGGAUUCGCCUUAAAGCCAACCAUUGUGUUUACUAUUAAUCUUUAUCUGAAGGUAAAUCAGGCUGAUUCUUUUUAAGACUAUGUUCAUAAACCCUUUAUAUUUAAGAUUUAUACUCUGUUCCAUGAUUGUGAUCACCAGUAACAUUAAUGUUCAUUAUAAUCCUUUUACUUAUUUAUUUAUUUAAAAAAAUUUUUUUUUUUUGGUUAUACGUGGCACAGUAUCUUUAUUUUGUUUUUUAUUUUAAUGUGGUGCUGAAGAUCGAACCCAGUGCCUCACAUAUGCGAGGCAAGCGCUCUGUCACUGAGCCACAACCCCAGCCCAUCAUCAUACUCCUUUUAAACUAUAGAUUGUGCCUGGAGUUCACACAUUUGGUUAAGUGUCUUUGACAUCAGACGGAUAAAGUAUUUUUAGUAGAACUUCACUACAGGUUCUUCUGUGCCAGACUGGUUGAGUUUAAAUAAUCUAGAUUCUGCCUCUAACUACACUUUUGGUUUCAGUUAAGUAAUUUAUACUCUAGUGUCUACCUCAAAAGGCUAUUAUGAGAAUGAGAUCAGAAUAACGUAAAGUAUUUGAUAGAGCAUAAGUCACAGGAAAAGCAAAAGUAUCAGCUAAUGGUAUCAUCAUCAUCAUCCUUAGUAUAGCUUCUUCUUCAUAUCAUUAUUUUCCUGGAUUGCUGUUUUAUGAAACUUCCUACAGAUCUUUCCUGGAGCAUUUGGAUAUCCACUUCUUUUUUUAUUUAUUUUUGGUACAAGAGAUUGACCCAGGGGCACUUAAUCACUGAGUCAUAGCCCUAGCCCUUAUUAUUUUUUAUUUUGAGACAGAGUCUCAUGAAGUUGCUUAGGGCUUUGCUAAGUUUCUGAGGCUGGCUCUGAAACUUGCGAUUCUCCUGCUUCAGUAUCCUGAGUUGCUGGGAUUACAGGUGGGCGUCAUCACACCCAGCUUCUAUUUUUCUUCUGACUGGUGAUCACAAACUUUGAAGUAUAUUUGUCUGGAACCUUAGUUAUAAUUUUUUUUUUUUUGGUACCAGGGGCAUUCAACCACUAAACCACUUCCAAACCUUUUUUGUGUUUUAGAGACAGGGUCUCACUGAGUUGCUUAAGGCCUCACUAAAUUGCUGGGGCUGGCAUUGAACUCAUGGUCCUCCUGUCUUUUUUUUUUUUUUAAUAUUUAUUUGUAGAUGAACACACAGUAUCUUUAUUUAUUUUUAUGUGGUGCUGAGGAUCGAACCUAGUGCCUCCACAUGCUAGACAAGCACUUUACCACUGAGCUACAGCCCUAGCCCUGAUCCUCCUGUCUUUCCCUCCCAAGCUGUUGGGAUUAUAGGCGUGUGCCACCACAUCUAGCUCCAUAGUUAGAAUUUUUAUAAUAUAUUGGAAAGCACAUAAUAAAUGUUUUUAAAAUAUCUCAAAAAUUCAAUAGUAAGUUGACCUUUCAGUUGGAUUCCCAAGUGAUAAACAAAUAAUACACAUUACUUUGAAAUCAAUGAGGUCUUUUUCUUUCAGGUUCUGGUUCUUGCACC
This 5934-nucleotide transfer RNA is filed under the name Marmota monax (woodchuck). The record is from RNAcentral. Lineage: Eukaryota; Metazoa; Chordata; Mammalia; Rodentia; Sciuridae.